UUUAGGGAGACCUCCCACUCUGUGUUCAAAGCAAAGUGCAAAUAGACAUAAGAGUUGGUCAACCAGGUCGAGCGAGAUUGGAUUGCUGGCUUUCAAACUAUUUCCAGGUUUUAUUUCCUCAAGGUGAGCAGAACCGACCGGAUGAAUUCGGUUAACGCCAUCACCAGGGACGAUCGAUUUCGCUAAAGUAAGAGAAGUGGAUGUUGAGUCAGUUGAGACAAAGCCCUCAACGGAACGAAUCAAAGAACGAUCGGCAUUCUACAGAAAACAAUACGGUUGUCACUGCUACAAACAGAAUUAGACACGUUAAAGUAGUAAGAGUGAGUCAUGAGUUAGCCAGCUCCAGCGAGUGGACUGAUACUAACAAAACAAGUUUUUGAGACACUUUAACUCCAUUGGAUAUCAUUUCAGCAACUGAUCUAGAGCCGCAAUUGGACUAGAGAGACUGCUGGACUUCGUAUCCAGCCAAGAACCUUGAAAAUUGCAUAGUAAUAACUUGUCAGGUAGAAACAGUGGACAAGCUUUUGUAAACCGGAUCGUGAAUACUUUCAUGAACUGUUGUACACAAAGCAUGACCCACUGAAUCACAGACACCAAUGUCAAAGU
This 606-nucleotide unclassified non-coding RNA is filed under the name Pseudanabaenales cyanobacterium FI2-1HA2. RNAcentral describes it as "16S-23S ribosomal RNA intergenic spacer". The record is from RNAcentral. Lineage: Bacteria; Bacillati; Cyanobacteriota; Cyanophyceae; Pseudanabaenales; Pseudanabaenaceae.